This 497-nucleotide ribosomal RNA is filed under the name uncultured bacterium. RNAcentral's name for it is "partial 16S ribosomal RNA". It matches the Rfam family "Bacterial small subunit ribosomal RNA", at positions 28 to 507 of the family's 1533-position model. The record is from RNAcentral.
GAUGAACGCUGGCGGCGUGCCUAAUACAUGCAAGUCGAGCGAACGGACGAGAAGCUUGCUUCUCUGAUGUUAGCGGCGGACGGGUGAGUAACACGUGGAUAACCUACCUAUAAGACUGGGAUAACUUCGGGAAACCGGAGCUAAUACCGGAUAAUAUUUUGAACCGCAUGGUUCAAAAGUGAAAGACGGUCUUGCUGUCACUUAUAGAUGGAUCCGCGCUGCAUUAGCUAGUUGGUAAGGUAACGGCUUACCAAGGCAACGAUGCAUAGCCGACCCGAGAGGGGGACCAGGCCCACCGGGACUGAGACACGGCCCCGACCCCCAAGGGGGGGAGGAGUGGGGAAUUUUGGCCAAGGGGGGCAAACCCGAACGAGGCAACGCCGGGGUGGGAUGAAGGGUUUCGGGUUUGAAAACCCUUUUUGUAGGGAAGAAACGUAGGGGGAAAAUACUGCGCGCAACUGAAGGUACCUGAAGAAGAAGCCCAGGCUAACUACGUG